UAAACUAUAGCAUUAGAAGACCAUCAAAAGACAGAACAAUGAAAAAGAUUUCCUUGUCAUUGGUGUUUUUGGUAUUGCUGGUCGUGACUUCCUUUGUCGAUGAAUCGAAUGGCUGGUUUUGGAGACGAGUCCGCAAGUGUAGUAAAGUCUGCAAACUUCAGUGUGGUAGUGUUUGUCCCAAACUUUGCUGCGUGUGUUGCUCUCAGAAAUGUCACAGAAAGCGUCAGGUUGAAGAAGUCAUAGUGCCCCUGCCAUGUAAACUUUCUUUGGGACAAAGACGGAGAUGGGGCUGUAAGUAAGAAGGAAUUUGCAGAGCUGACGCACUCGAGCACAAAGAGUAUUGACGUCAAAUAUAUUUUCCAUUCUUUGGACAAAAAUGGUGACAAGAUCCUAACAAAAGAAGAAUUACAUAAUGCACCGAUUUUUACAGACAAAUGUUAGCUUUCUUCAUGUAAUGUAAAGAAAAUGCAAAGCACUUUUACAGACUGAGUGAUAAAAAUCUUCAGCAUCUUGA
This is a long non-coding RNA of Saccostrea cuccullata (small rock oyster), 514 nucleotides long. RefSeq lists it as uncharacterized. Lineage: Eukaryota; Metazoa; Mollusca; Bivalvia; Ostreida; Ostreidae. The transcript has 4 exons. The record is from RefSeq and is a predicted model, not a curated record.